Molecule: ribosomal RNA, 537 nt
Filed under: uncultured bacterium
Lineage: Bacteria
Description: bacterial SSU rRNA
Rfam family: Bacterial small subunit ribosomal RNA
Source: RNAcentral
CCUAAAUCUUGACAUCCUCUGACCCCUCUAGAGAUAGAGUUUUCCCCUUCGGGGGACAGAGUGACAGGUGGUGCAUGGUUGUCGUCAGCUCGUGUCGUGAGAUGUUGGGUUAAGUCCCGCAACGAGCGCAACCCUUAAGCUUAGUUGCCAUCAUUAAGUUGGGCACUCUAAGUUGACUGCCGGUGACAAACCGGAGGAAGGUGGGGAUGACGUCAAAUCAUCAUGCCCCUUAUGAUUUGGGCUACACACGUGCUACAAUGGACAAUACAAAGGGCAGCGAAACCGCGAGGUCAAGCAAAUCCCAUAAAGUUGUUCUCAGUUCGGAUUGUAGUCUGCAACUCGACUAUAUGAAGCUGGAAUCGCUAGUAAUCGUAGAUCAGCAUGCUACGGUGAAUACGUUCCCGGGUCUUGUACACACCGCCCGUCACACCACGAGAGUUUGUAACACCCGAAGCCGGUGGAGUAACCAUUUGGAGCUAGCCGUCGAAGGUGGGACAAAUGAUUGGGGUGAAGUCGUAACAAGGUAGGCGUAGCGAG